RNAcentral lists this unclassified non-coding RNA (350 nucleotides) under soil metagenome. Its description in RNAcentral is "partial contains 5.8S ribosomal RNA, internal transcribed spacer 2, and large subunit ribosomal RNA". The stretch from base 1 to 120 matches the Rfam family "5.8S ribosomal RNA", at positions 35 to 154 of the family's 154-position model. The record is from RNAcentral.
GAUGAAGAACGCAGCGAACUGCGAUAAGUAAUGUGAAUUGCAGAAUUCAGUGAAUCAUCGAGUCUUUGAACGCACAUUGCGCCCCCUGGCAUUCCGGGGGGCAUGCCUGUCCGAGCGUCAUUGCUGCCCUUCAAGCCCGGCUUGUGUGUUGGGUCGUCGUCCCCCCCGGGGGACGGGCCCGAAAGGCAGCGGCGGCACCGCGUCCGGUCCUCGAGCGUAUUGGGCUUUGUCACCCGCUCGAUUAGGGCCGGCCGGGCGCCAGCCGGCGUCUCCAACCUUCUAUUUUACCAGGUUGACCUCGGAUCAGGUAGGGAUACCCGCUGAACUUAAGCAUAUCAAUAAGCGGAGGA